GAAAUGCGAUAAGUAAUGUGAAUUGCAGAAUUCAGUGAAUCAUCGAAUAUUUGAACGCACCUUGCGCUCCUUGGUAUUCCUUGGAGCAUGUCUGUUUGAGUAUCAUGAAAUCUUCAAAGUAAAUCUUUUGUUAACUCAAUUGGUUUCUACUUUGGUAUUGGAGGUCUUUGCAGCUUCACACCUGCUCCUCUUUGUUCAUUAGCUGGAUCUCAGUGUUAUGCUUGGUUCCACUCGGCGUGAUAAGUUAUCUAUCGCUGAGGACACUGUAAAAGGUGGCCAAGGUAAAUGCAGAUGAACCGCUUCUAAUAGUCCAUUGACUUGGACAAUACUUUUAUGAUCUGAUCUCAAAUCAGGUAGGACUACCCGCUGAACUUAAGC
RNAcentral lists this unclassified non-coding RNA (378 nucleotides) under plant metagenome. Its description in RNAcentral is "partial contains 5.8S ribosomal RNA, internal transcribed spacer 2, and large subunit ribosomal RNA". The stretch from base 1 to 105 matches the Rfam family "5.8S ribosomal RNA", at positions 50 to 154 of the family's 154-position model. The record is from RNAcentral.